GAGAAAAAAGAGGAAGCAAGAGAAUGAGAGAAAGAGAACGAGAAGGGGAGAAAAGAUGAAAGAAAAGAAGAGAAAAUAAGGGAGAGAAUGAGAGUGAGAAAGGAAGAUAAAAUGAAAGUAUUGGAUGGUAUUUGAAGGGCAGACUUAUGGGCAUGAAAGAGACUAUUAAAUUAUAGUUGAAAUUAGAGAGCAUGGGGUGGGGGUAAAAGCGGAAUGUUAGUUCUUGCCUUACUAAAAAUCAGUUAUUCAUACUUCAUUUUGACUUUGUGUUUUCUCAAGCAAGUGACUUAUCUUUUAUGUGGGUGUUUUUAUAUUGCCUUGGAAGGGAAAUGUUUAUUAGCUACCUUUCUCUUACUUUUAAUCAACCCCAAAACCCCAUCAGCAUUCUUUCUUCUGAUGCCUCAUUUGUCUACUGUAGCCUGAAAAUGAAAUAUCUGCAGACAGAACUAUAUUAAAACGCAAUGAAUACUCCUCUGUCAGAAGGCCUUGAGCUGAGUUUUUCUGGUGUCUGGGGGAAGCUAUGACCCCGUCAUCCAUGCUUCUGCCCUCAGUCUCCUUUUUAUGCAUGCAUAUACUUGGAUAUGGGACGUAGACAAACAGUUUCAGCAGCUGACAUCCUCUGAGUUCAGGGGAAAAGUUAUGAUUAUUCUGGGUGAUUGUAGCUUUUUGCAGCAGAAGAGUCAUAUUAUGCAAAACUUACAAAUGAAGAGAACUGGCAGUUGUGAUUAGUGGUUCUUCUCUUCUGUGGUAUGAAAAGGAGUCAACCUGGGUACAUCCCCUAUUUCCAGAAGACAGAAAGAAGAAUCAGAAGCAGUGUGUGUUCAUAUGGGAAGGGCAGCAUAUAAUGGUUUUGCCCUGUGCUAUGUUAACUAAGGCUCUUUUUCCUGUAGAACAUUAUCUUGGUCCACUGUCUCAAUGACAUCAUGUUAAUUGGACUGGAUGAGGAAGAAAUGGCAAGUGCAUUGGAGGUUUUGGUAAGACACAUACAUGUACUCCAAAGAACAGAAGAUGCAUCUAAUGAAGAUUCAAGGACCUGACAUAUCCGUUUUUAGGAAUAUAGCCAUUUGGGACAUGCCAGAACAGCUUUUUGAAAGAAAAGGACAGUCUAAUGCCUCUCAUAUUGUGCACCCCUAAGAAAGAAGCACAGCUUUUUAAAGGCUUCUUUGGGUUCUAGGGACAGCAUAUUUCAUACUUGGAAAUACUGUUUCAACUCAUUCGCCAAGUGACACAAAAGAUUACCAACUUCAUUUGAGACUUCAAGCAAAAAAGAGCUCUGCUACGUGAUUUGCCACCGGAACUUGGUAGAUGGAAAAUAUGAGAGCUCAACUGACCAUGCAGCCAGAACUGCCCAUCCUAACUUAGGUAUUUCCAACCUCCAUCAAAUCAUAAGGUUGAGCUAAACCAAUAGCAAUCCACUGUAAGAUCGAAGUGAUAUAUCUGGAAUUGGGAAUUGGCAGAGACAAAAGGCAGAAGUUAAGUUUCAGAGGGCACGGACCUCCAAAUAACCUACCAUUGUUAUGCUAUCACCUUUCCCUAAGCUCACCCCUGUUAUACUGUCACCUUUCCCUAAGCUCACCCCUGUUAUACUGUCACCUUUCCCUAAGCUCACCGUUAUACUGUUGCCUUUCCCUAUAGCCACGUAGGCAUCCCUUUUGACUGACUGACAAAGGAAGAAAAAGUUACACCUGGGUCAUGAAUGGGUUGGCUCUCUAUGGGGGUCCAAGCUGAGAAAGCACUGUUGCUACUCUACAGUUCCACCUUUGGUGUGAGUAGAUAUUCCAUAAUAUUUCUGUAAACCUUCUGAUGGUGUCCCUGAGAGACAGCAAUGAGGAGUAACACUCUCAAUGUUUAGAGGAUCAGAUGGUCACAGCCAUUUUUAUGGCUGGAGGUAAGAAUAAAUAGGAACUUACAGGAAGUAACCUCUCGUUUGGCUGAUUGGAUGGGGGCUUGGAAGAAGAGCGAUAGAAAGAUCAUAGAAAAAAAGAUCUGGGAAAGAGGCAUGUGCCUCUGCCUGUGGCUGUAGAUUGGAAGUUUGAAUAUCUUUGCAUCUCAUGGCACUGCCCGCAAGGAAACAUUCACCAAGAAUGAGGCAUUAAACAGCCGUGUAGACAGCAUGACUCAGCCAGUUGAUGUCAUCAGCAUUUCAUUGCCCAAUGCUGGCCUGAUGGAUGCAUGAAGAAACUGAUCAUUGCUGAGGGAUGGGCUCAGUGGCAUUUGUCCUCACUAACCAAGGCUGAUUUAGGUAUUGUUCUCCAACUCCAUCUAGCUGCUGAUUCCCCAAAUUGCUAGCAAAAGAGAUCAUUACUGAGUCUCUGGUACAGCAAAAUCCCUCAGGGAAACCAACCAGCCGCUCAGUGGCAAGUUGAUUACACUGGAACCUUUCUAUCCUGGAAAAGGUAGUGAUUCAUCUCGACUGGAAAAGUCACAUAUUGUGGUAUGAGUUUCCUUUUCCUACCACAAGGCCUCAGCUAGCACCAUCAGAAGAACGGAAUAUCUACCCACACCAUAUAUGGUGUAACAUAGCCUCAGACCAAACAACAAUGUUGUAGGAGUGUACACAUAACCAUGUAUCUAUUGGUUCUGUUACAUUCUGCACCACUCUGAAGUUGCAGGUCUGAAAGAUAAUGGAAUUGACUUUUGAAGGAGCAGCUUAGAUACUGGCUUGCAGAUGAUACCUUGCACAGAUGAGGCAUUAUCUUUCAGGAUGUAAUAUAUACCCUAAAUCAAAGACCCUUUUACAGUUCUAUUCUCCAGUGGGUCCAGGAUGGCUCUACUUAUCAUCACUACCAGUGAAUGACUCAGUUGAGAAAUGUUUCCUCAAUAAUGCAUGUUUUGGUUCUGUGGAUUCUAAACUAGGUUCUGGAUUCUAAAGUGGAAAUUGUUUUACCAGGGGGCCCAGUAAGAGUCCCAUUAAACUUUAAACUAUGGCUACUGUAGGGUCAUUUAAGUUUCUUCAUGUCAAGAGUCCAGUAAGCAAUAAAAGAAAACAAUGUUGGUAGAGGUAAUUGAUUCCGGCCAUUAGGAGGCCAUCCUCCUAAUGGCCUCCUAGGGGUACUCAGUGGGGUCUGGAAAGCAUAAGUUUGGUUGUCAGGUUAUCUACUGGAUCAUGUCUUGAUACUUUCCUGAUUUUUUCAAGAAAUGGACAAGUACAGCAGCCACAGUAUGGUGUGGUUACCAGAAGCCUAGGCACUCAGGGAUGACUGUCUGGGUAACCCCACCAGGUAAGCCAUCUAGAUCAUCAGAGGUGCUAAAUUAGGGUCAAAACAAUCUGGAAUAGGUUGCAGAGGAGGGAGAAAAUGAGUUUCAGUUUCAGCUGUAAAACCAGCUAUAUUGGCAAAAGCUAUAUAUAUAGUUCAUGCUACUCAUCUUUCUUUUGUAAAGUUUCCCAGAAAAAGAGACCAACCAGAAACUUGAAGGAGUUCUUCCCAGAUGGAAUAAAUUUACCGUGUGAAUCACGUGAAUCCAAGGGAUGCAAGGAUUGGCCUAUACUGGAUUGGAUGCUCUGGUAUACUACUCAGAUUUCCUCUUCAGAACUAAUGCAUUUAUCCCCCAGCUAUGAAAUUGUUGGCUGCUGGCAGUCUAUAGCUAAUGCAGUCACUGGAAAUUAUCCUUGGUUGAAGGGACCUAACUUGUCCAAGUCUACACCUAUUUCCAGGAAUAGUUCAAUCCAUUGACUUGUUGAUGCAGGACUACACAGGUCAAGCCUUCUUGUUUUGAUGUGGACAAAUCUGAAGGGAUAUCCCAGCUCCAGACCUCGCAUAGGUCUGAGCUAAAGAGACCUCAUAGGUCUGUGUCAAUUUCUGUCUUUACCCA
This is a long non-coding RNA of Homo sapiens (human), 3813 nucleotides long. The record is from Ensembl. Lineage: Eukaryota; Metazoa; Chordata; Mammalia; Primates; Hominidae.